Pelobates cultripes (western spadefoot toad) is the source of this 218-nucleotide non-coding RNA. Lineage: Eukaryota; Metazoa; Chordata; Amphibia; Anura; Pelobatidae. The record is from the annotation of a GenBank genome assembly.
GUGGAUAAUUGCAUAUAGAGUGUGGAAUACAGUGUAUUUAUAACAUGUAGGGAAAUCAUUACAUAUAGCACUAUGUAUUACAUAGGGGCUUAUUACAUAUAGUUCUAUGGAAUAUACAAUGGAUUUUUGAUAUAAAUAAACUUGAUACAAUGUAUUGUGUUAUUUAUCAAUACAGCCUUCAAUGGAAAACACAGGAUACAUUUCUGUGACACACUACU